Molecule: long non-coding RNA, 219 nt
Filed under: Phoenix dactylifera (date palm)
Lineage: Eukaryota; Viridiplantae; Streptophyta; Magnoliopsida; Arecales; Arecaceae
Description: long non-coding RNA (PDAC_LNC023159)
Source: RNAcentral
UCAUUGGUGAGCCCAUAAAAAGAUGGAAGCAUUUGGAUCACACUAGACUUUAUUUCAUAUUGUACAGCUGCUACCUCAGGUAAUCGAAUGCAAGAUGGGGAAGUGUAAAUAGUGGGAGUAAAGUAUUUCCUCAGGAGUUUGGGUUGUUCUUCAGCCAUCUUAAGAGGUGGGGAUGAUCCUAAUGUUUUGAUCUUAGCUCGAAUGUUCCUAAGGGUUCGU